Non-coding RNA from Struthio camelus australis, 185 nucleotides. Lineage: Eukaryota; Metazoa; Chordata; Aves; Struthioniformes; Struthionidae. The record is from RefSeq and is a predicted model, not a curated record.
AGUACCCUGUGGCAAGGAAGAAGCCAUGGAGAGACGGAUCUGUGUUGCAUUCCUGGCCGUUUGUCUCCUGCUGCUGGGAGGCACUCAGGCAGCUCCCCUGAAUUCACACAGCUUUGAUGAUAAUGUGGCCGGGGAUGGCAGCUUCAACAACAAUGGGAAUGGCCUUGAGCCCCCUGUCAUCUAUG